This 754-nucleotide ribosomal RNA is filed under the name Vibrio sp. UCH-41. Its description in RNAcentral is "bacterial SSU rRNA". It matches the Rfam family "Bacterial small subunit ribosomal RNA", at positions 45 to 778 of the family's 1533-position model. The record is from RNAcentral. RNAcentral also lists the same sequence under 3 other names. Lineage: Bacteria; Pseudomonadati; Pseudomonadota; Gammaproteobacteria; Vibrionales; Vibrionaceae.
GGCCUAACACAUGCAAGUCGAGCGGAAACGACACUAACAAUCCUUCGGGUGCGUUAAUGGGCGUCGAGCGGCGGACGGGUGAGUAAUGCCUAGGAAAUUGCCUUGAUGUGGGGGAUAACCAUUGGAAACGAUGGCUAAUACCGCAUAAUGCCUACGGGCCAAAGAGGGGGACCUUCGGGCCUCUCGCGUCAAGAUAUGCCUAGGUGGGAUUAGCUAGUUGGUGAGGUAAUGGCUCACCAAGGCGACGAUCCCUAGCUGGUCUGAGAGGAUGAUCAGCCACACUGGAACUGAGACACGGUCCAGACUCCUACGGGAGGCAGCAGUGGGGAAUAUUGCACAAUGGGCGAAAGCCUGAUGCAGCCAUGCCGCGUGUAUGAAGAAGGCCUUCGGGUUGUAAAGUACUUUCAGUUGUGAGGAAGGGGGUAGCGUUAAUAGCGCUAUCUCUUGACGUUAGCAACAGAAGAAGCACCGGCUAACUCCGUGCCAGCAGCCGCGGUAAUACGGAGGGUGCGAGCGUUAAUCGGAAUUACUGGGCGUAAAGCGCAUGCAGGUGGUUCAUUAAGUCAGAUGUGAAAGCCCGGGGCUCAACCUCGGAACUGCAUUUGAAACUGGUGAACUAGAGUACUGUAGAGGGGGGUAGAAUUUCAGGUGUAGCGGUGAAAUGCGUAGAGAUCUGAAGGAAUACCAGUGGCGAAGGCGGCCCCCUGGACAGAUACUGACACUCAGAUGCGAAAGCGUGGGGAGCAAACAGGAU